UACGAAGGGGGCGAACGUUGUUCGGAAUUACUGGGCGUAAGGGCGCGUAGGCGGCCGAUCAAGUCAGAUGUGAAAGUCCUGGGCUUAACCUGGGGACUGCAUUUGAUACUGAUCGGCUUGAAUGCAGGAGAGGAUAGCGGAAUUCCCAGUGUAGAGGUGAAAUUCGUAGAUAUUGGGAAGAACACCGGUGGCGAAGGCGGCUAUCUGGACUGUGAUUGACGCUGAGGCGCGAAAG
This 235-nucleotide ribosomal RNA is filed under the name uncultured prokaryote. RNAcentral's name for it is "partial 16S ribosomal RNA". It matches the Rfam family "Bacterial small subunit ribosomal RNA", at positions 524 to 759 of the family's 1533-position model. The record is from RNAcentral.